CCUGUACUUUGUUAGAGCUUGGAGUUGAUGAACUCACAAGUGUAGGUCGUCUGCUACACCAGGGGCAAGUCUCUUACUAACACCACAAGGGUCUCUGGCCCAAUGAGUGGAAUUUGAUAGUAAUUCUUGCACAAGU
RNAcentral lists this small nucleolar RNA (136 nucleotides) under Suricata suricatta (meerkat). Lineage: Eukaryota; Metazoa; Chordata; Mammalia; Carnivora; Herpestidae. The record is from RNAcentral.